This is a long non-coding RNA of Lynx canadensis (Canada lynx), 2500 nucleotides long. RefSeq lists it as uncharacterized. The transcript has 2 exons. Lineage: Eukaryota; Metazoa; Chordata; Mammalia; Carnivora; Felidae. The record is from RefSeq and is a predicted model, not a curated record.
UACCUCCAAGAGGGCACGACUGUGACUUUUAGUCUUUCUCGUGUUCCCAGUGCCUGACCCAACAGAUGUCUGUGAAAUUGAAUGAGGGUGCGAGAUACCACAAUGACUUCCAACUUCCCCUUCUUUCUCCCUGAUAUUUUCAUUUGAAGGUGGCAGAUGGAUGGGGAAACAGUAGGAAGUAUCUGGAUCAUGGCCAUCAGCCACCUUCAAUCAUCUUUUGAUUCUCGUUCCAAUUCAUUAAACCGCGGUGCCUCCGACUCGAGUCAUACAGCAAGAUGCAGCCAAGAGAAUCAGAGUCCAUUUAUCCUGAAACUUGUCCGUUCCUGAGCUGGAAAGUUCCACACCGCACCGUUUCUUAGGGCAGCUGCCAGCCUGGGACCACACACCGCAGGACAGAACACCCGGCUGCACGCUCUCGAUAUCCUCGCAGGCUGGGCCUGGACAAUCCAGCCUGGGACACCUGUCAGCAUUCCUCGGCCACUGAGAAAGGAAGCACACGGGACACAGGCCCUGAAAACAGCCGCGAGACCUCGCGGACCUUUAAUCCUGUGGCGCAAGUCACUUGUUUUGAGGAAUACUGACUGUCAGGGGUCAUAAGAUAAAUGAGUCAUAAAACAGAUGGCUUAAAAAUCUAUAAACAGUAUACGUAUAUAGGUACACAUGCAACCUUCUCUCUGGCAAUUUCCAAAUGAAAAUAUACUUUCUACAGAUAGAAUGUCAAAGCUGAAAAGAACCCAAACAACUACUUAAACAAACUUCAUUUUACACAUGAGGAGACUGAAGUCCUAGGCCAGGGGUCGGCAAACUUUUUCUGUAAAGGGCCAGAGAGUGAAUUGUUUAGACUCUGUAAGCUGUAUGGCCUCUGCUGCAACGACUCAACUUUGUCACUGCAGCACAAAAGCAGCCAUAGAAAAUACGUAAAUGUGUGACUGUGUUCUGAUAAAAUGUUACUUGCAGACAUUGAAAUUUGAAUCUUAUAUUAUUUUUCACACGCUACAAAAAUACUGUUCUUUUGAUCCCAAGCACUUAAAAAUGUAAAAACCAUUUUUAGUGGGCUAUACAGAGACAGGCGGUAGACUGGCUCUGGCUCUGGGGUCAUACUUUGCGGACCCCUGUCCUGGGCUACUCUGACACCCAAGCGUAGUAAUACAGAGCCUGCUGUGUUAUACCUUAUUUGCGAUUUGCUCUAUCCGUCCCAUCAGUGACUCAGAUCUGCUUCCCCAUAAAGUGGACAGCUAAGGACCUCUGUAAGUGUUUUCUAAAUUUCAGGAGUAAUAUUAAGAUCUAUCAGAGACGUACGCCAGGCCACAAUGGAAAGAACAUCGAUAUGAUGCCAUAUUGUGCACUAAAUAAAAUGCAAUCGACAUAAAAAUAUAAGAAACUUGAGAAACUCACUAAAUUUGAAAAAUAGGCUUUAUUUUAACCAGUGGUAUUGUAUGACAUCCUACACGGCAUAACUGAUUACAGCCAAGUUCAUGAAUACAAAUACAAUAGCAGUUUCCCUCAUUCUCUCUUUUGCUUUCUGUUCAGAGAAAUCAGGAGAUGGGAGCCUGAUGCUCAGAAACCAACGAGCUGUUCCACAGGCUCCGGCCGAGUCCAGGCUCCUGGAGCAUAUUCAGACUCCUAACACAUACACAAUCACAUGUGCAAAGACCUUUAUGAAAAAUACUCAGAGCAGUAUUUCUUCAGGAAAUCACACUAGCAUUUACAAUCAGACACGGCCAAUAAAAUUCAUCUUGUUGUGGAUUGUGAGGAUUUGAACCGCACAUAAAGGAGAUGAGGCCUUUGCGUCCAUUUUUCUUUAAAGAGGGGAGAAUCUCAGGUGAGGUGCGGUCACCCAUCAGCCUGCCUCCUUCCUUCUCGCUCCACAGCUGACUCAGGGGAGCUCCCCGUCCCUCCGGAGGGCAUGCGCCACGGCACUGUGAUACAGAAAUGGAUACACCUUGUCCCAAAUACAAGAUUUUGUCGCGCCACCAACAGUGGAAGUGGCUUUACGCUUUCUUAUUUCACAAAAGGUUUAAAUACGUGGGCCCUUAGGGGGCACAAGAUGCCUGAAAUUCAGAAAAUUAAGGAAGCAACUCUUCUCUACCCCUGAGGAUAUUUCAUCUUUAUGAAGUUGAAAAUACAAAAUAUUAGAAUAAUUUGCCCUUUCUCCCCAUCAAAUGGAAUCACAUUCUCAAAGGAUUCCUGCAAUAUACAAAAUUCUGAAACAACAUUUUUUUCUCCCAACCAAGACCAAGAUUUCAAUGUUAAGCUGCCAAGAAGACCCUCUCCCAAAGACGGGUGGAAAAGACACCUCGUUACUUCUCUAAUAACCACGUUUAGACAAAGAUAGCAAAAGGAGUUUCUGGCCUCAUGAGUUUUUAUUUUUCACUUUGAUUUUCAGCAUUUCUUAGCAUUGGCUAUUGGGAGUGAAGAGAACAAUUUGUUUUUCAAAGUCUGAGAUAUUCCCGGGAAGAGCCCUGAUCUUUCCCGUGACGGUUCCCUAUAAAUAGUUUGU